RNAcentral lists this long non-coding RNA (649 nucleotides) under Phoenix dactylifera (date palm). Its description in RNAcentral is "long non-coding RNA (PDAC_LNC011403)". The record is from RNAcentral. Lineage: Eukaryota; Viridiplantae; Streptophyta; Magnoliopsida; Arecales; Arecaceae.
AAACAUGUCUCCCUCUAUUUUACAUAAAAUAUGUUAUUAAAAAAAACAUGUCUGAUUUUUCUAUUUUGGAAAUAUUCACAAAUAGAUGGUCAUGCUCUAUGAUUUUUUUUUUAUGAGUCAAUGGUCAUGUGCAAUAGAACCUCUAGCCAAAAUAGAUGCAAUGGACAAUGUCUGCAAAUGGUUAAAUAAGUUGGCAACUCUGAGCAACUGAAUGAUAGGGGCCUCACGAGUUCAGAUCCUUUGCAAUGCGUGAUGUACAACAUUGAGUGGUACAAUCUUGGAUGGCUGCCAUGCCAUCCAAUCACAAAGAUGGAUGACUAUCAAAUAGAACAGGCAUUGUGUGGCAUAUACGACGCAUUGGGUAUGCCAUACCCUAAUAUUUUUUUUGAUAGCCUUCCGUCUCUGUGAUUGGAUGAUGUGACAGCCAUCCAGAGCUGUACAACUUUGUAUAGUGCAAAACACACACUGCAGAGGAUCUUAGGUUAGGGCCUCAGAUAUCUCAUUCACAAUGUUUUAGUGAAGCCUACAUGUUCAACCAAGAGAUUAUUUGUCUCUUUUGCAUCUAAUAGCAAGACUUGAAAUAGGCAACAAGAAUGGAGACAACCACUAGCUCCUACAAUGCCAUUCAUGUCAUGAUGCUUGCCUCCCU